This 269-nucleotide unclassified non-coding RNA is filed under the name Hevea brasiliensis (rubber tree). Lineage: Eukaryota; Viridiplantae; Streptophyta; Magnoliopsida; Malpighiales; Euphorbiaceae. The record is from RNAcentral.
AGACGAGGCCACGAGGGAGAGAGAGAAUAAUUACUAUUACCCCCCUUUAGUAGAAAAUAUGCCUUUGAUUUACAAAAUUGGGCUUUGCAAGGCCAUAUAUAUAUAUAUAGCAAAAAACUUCCAUUUUGGUCUAAAAUAAACCUUCAAGUCAAAAUCAUGUAAUGGGUACUAAUUUAUCUGAAGAGCAUUUUGAGUUCUUCAAUCCUAGCUGACCGAACUUCCUCAUCGGUAAGGGCACCAGCAAUCAUCCGCUGCUUUUUCGCCUGAAC